RNAcentral lists this ribosomal RNA (586 nucleotides) under uncultured bacterium. RNAcentral describes it as "bacterial SSU rRNA". It matches the Rfam family "Bacterial small subunit ribosomal RNA", at positions 102 to 694 of the family's 1533-position model. The record is from RNAcentral.
ACGGGUGAGGAACACGUAGGAAUCUACCUAGAAGAGCGGGACAACUUUGGGAAACCGGGGCUAAUACCGCAUAGUACAGAGAUGUUAAAGGGCUAGCAAUAGUCGCUUCUGGAUGAGCCUGCGGUCUAUCAGCUUGUUGGCGGGGUAACGGCCCACCAAGGCUACGACGGAUAGCCGGUCUGAGAGGAUGAUCGGCCACACUGGCACUGAGACACGGGCCAGACUCCUACGGGAGGCAGCAGUUAAGAAUCUUGCGCAAUGGGGGAAACCCUGACGCAGCGACGCCGCGUGAAGGAUGAAGGCUUUCGGGUUGUAAACUUCGGUAGACUGGGAAGAAGAAAUACGUUCGUUGAGGGCGUAUAGUGACGGUACCAGUCUGAAGCCCCGGCUAAUUACGUGCCAGCAGCCGCGGUAAUACGUAUGGGGCAAGCGUUGUUCGGAAUUAUUGGGCGUAAAGGGCUCGCAGGUGGUUUGUUAAGUUGGUGGUUUAAUCUCUGGGCUCAACCCAGAGUCAGCCAUCAAAACUGGCGAACUUGAGUACGAUAGGGGAUAGCGGAAUUCUCGGUGUAGCGGUGGAAUGCGUAGA